This 466-nucleotide ribosomal RNA is filed under the name uncultured bacterium. RNAcentral's name for it is "partial 16S ribosomal RNA". It matches the Rfam family "Bacterial small subunit ribosomal RNA", at positions 28 to 505 of the family's 1533-position model. The record is from RNAcentral.
GACGAACGCUGGCGGCGUGCUUAACACAUGCAAGUCGAACGGAAAGGCCCUGCUUUUGUGGGGUGCUCGAGUGGCGAACGGGUGAGUAACACGUGAGUAACCUGCCCUUGACUUUGGGAUAACUUCAGGAAACUGGGGCUAAUACCGGAUAGGAGCUCCUGCUGCAUGGUGGGGGUUGGAAAGUUUCGGCGGUUGGGGAUGGACUCGCGGCUUAUCAGCUUGUUGGUGGGGUAGUGGCUUACCAAGGCUUUGACGGGUAGCCGGCCUGAGAGGGUGACCGGCCACAUUGGGACUGAGAUACGGCCAAGACUCCUAGGGGGGGCAGCGGUGGGGAAUAUUGCAAAAGGGGCGGAAGCCUAAUGCAGCAACGCCGGGUGGGGGAUGACGGCCUUCGGGUUGAAAACCGCUUUCGCCUGUGACGAAGCGUGAGGGACGGUAAUGGGUAAAGAAGCCCCGGCUAACUACG